UAUAAGUACACGCCUUAAAAAGGUGAAACCGCGAACGGCUCAUUACAACAGCUAUAAUCUACUCGGUCUUGACCAGUUACUCGGAUAACUGUGGUAAUUCUAGAGCUAAUACGUGCACCGAUGCUGUCCCUUGCGGGGCAGUGCAUUUGUUGGAGCAAAACCAGGCGGCUUCGGCCGUUUUUGCUGACUCAGAACAACUUAGCUGAUCGCAUGGGCUUGUCCCGGCGACGUACCGUCCGAGUGUCUGCCUUAUCAACUUUCGAUGGUAGUGUACGUGACUACCAUGGUUGUGACGGGUAACGGAGGAUAAGGGUUCGACUCCGGAGAAGGGGCCUGAGAAAUGGCCACUACGUCUAAGGAUGGCAGCAGGCGCGCAAAUUACCCACUCUCGGUUCGAGGAGGUAGUGACGAAAAAUAACAAGGCUGUUCUCUACGAGGCCAGCCAUUGGAAUGGGUACAACACAAACCCUUUAACGAGUAUCAAUGAGAGGGCAAGUCUGGUGCCAGCAGCCGCGGUAAUUCCAGCUCUCAAAAUGCAUAGAACCAUUGCUGCGGUUAAAAAGCUCGUAGUUGGAUCUGUGCCGGCGACGUGGUCCACCCGAAAGGGCGGUACUGCGCUCGUCGGCUUUGGGCCGGUCUUCGUGCGGUCGCCUUCAUCGGUGGCCGUCCGUGGCUGGCUGGUUUACUUUGAGCAAAUCAGAGUGCUCAGCACAGGCGUUUCGCCGGAAUGUUCGUGCAUGGAAUAAUAGAAAAGGAUUUCGGUUCUCUUUUAUUGGUUUUGUGGACUGAGAUAAUGGUUAACAGAGACGAACGGGGGCAUUCGUAUUGCUGCGUGAGAGGUGAAAUUCUUGGACCGCAGCAGGACGGACUACAGCGAAAGCAUUUGCCAAGCGCGUCUUCAUUAAUCAAGAACGAAAGUCAGAGGUUCGAAGGCGAUCAGAUA
This 943-nucleotide ribosomal RNA is filed under the name Criconema longulum. RNAcentral describes it as "SSU rRNA". It matches the Rfam family "Eukaryotic small subunit ribosomal RNA", at positions 58 to 1014 of the family's 1831-position model. The record is from RNAcentral. Lineage: Eukaryota; Metazoa; Nematoda; Chromadorea; Rhabditida; Criconematidae.